RNAcentral lists this ribosomal RNA (394 nucleotides) under Bacillus sp. (in: firmicutes). Its description in RNAcentral is "bacterial SSU rRNA". It matches the Rfam family "Bacterial small subunit ribosomal RNA", at positions 395 to 780 of the family's 1533-position model. Lineage: Bacteria; Bacillati; Bacillota; Bacilli; Caryophanales; Bacillaceae. The record is from RNAcentral.
CGCCGCGUGAGUGAAGAAGGUUUUCGGAUCGUAAAACUCUGUUGUUAGGGAAGAACAAGUGCCGUUCGAAUAGGGCGGCACCUUGACGGUACCUAACCAGAAAGCCACGGCUAACUACGUGCCAGCAGCCGCGGUAAUACGUAGGUGGCAAGCGUUGUCCGGAAUUAUUGGGCGUAAAGCGCGCGCAGGUGGUUUCUUAAGUCUGAUGUGAAAGCCCACGGCUCAACCGUGGAGGGUCAUUGGAAACUGGGGAACUUGAGUGCAGAAGAGGAAAGUGGAAUUCCAAGUGUAGCGGUGAAAUGCGUAGAUAUUUGGAGGAACACCAGUGGCGAAGGCGACUUUCUGGUCUGUAACUGACACUGAGGCGCGAAAGCGUGGGGAGCAAACAGGAUUA